RNAcentral lists this ribosomal RNA (253 nucleotides) under uncultured prokaryote. RNAcentral describes it as "partial 16S ribosomal RNA". It matches the Rfam family "Bacterial small subunit ribosomal RNA", at positions 524 to 776 of the family's 1533-position model. The record is from RNAcentral.
UACGUAGGGGGCAAGCGUUGUCCGGAAUUAUUGGGCGUAAAGGGUGCGUAGGCGGCCCUGCAAGUUGGAUGUGAAAUCCCCAUGCUUAACAUGGGAAUUGCAUUCAAAACUGUGGGGCUUGAGUGUGGAAGAGGUAAGUGGAAUUCCCAGUGUAGCGGUGAAAUGCGUAGAUAUUGGGAGGAACACCAGUGGCGAAGGCGACUUACUGGGCCACAACUGACGCUGAGGCACGAAAGCGUGGGGAGCAAACAGG